GGGGCAGCAGUGAAGGUGGCACCAAUGACCCUAUGCCAUCACACUGUCACUGUAUCAACCGUCCCUCACAACACCGCCAACCCGGCCGCCCAAAUUACUAACUUUCGUCUUUUGUUUUUUGGCCGAGAGAAAAAAAAUACCCGGAAAAAUUGAAAAUCUCAGAUUGCUUCGUUAGAAUUAAAUUAAUCAGUAUUCUGAAUUACGUAGCAGUUAAGGACACUGUGGAUGCGGUGACGAUGCCAAGUGAAUGUGUGAUGGGUUAAGAGAAGUGUAGAAGUGGAAAAUUGUUAUACGGGACUCGAGUGUGUUAAACAGUAGACUGUCUACUGUGUGAGUAUCCGUCAGAGGUGGACGAACAUGAACAAGCAAUACUCGCUCUUAUUGCUGGCUGUCGUGGCGGCGAUUUUCCUUCAGGAUUCCCUGGCCAGAAAGAGCAAGCCGAACUGUCCGUGGAUCGACCUUGAGAACGGUCGAGUGAAGAUCAGGAAAAAAGGUCGAGUGGCGACCUUUAAGUGCAAGAAGGGCUUCACCAGGUUCGACGGUGACCAGUUCGCCACUUGUCUGAGAACCACUUGGCAAGGCAGGAUCCCCAAGUGUAUAAGUAAGUGUUGUGAAG
Cherax quadricarinatus is the source of this 616-nucleotide non-coding RNA. The record is from RefSeq and is a predicted model, not a curated record. Lineage: Eukaryota; Metazoa; Arthropoda; Malacostraca; Decapoda; Parastacidae.